Molecule: ribosomal RNA, 497 nt
Filed under: uncultured bacterium
Lineage: Bacteria
Description: partial 16S ribosomal RNA
Rfam family: Bacterial small subunit ribosomal RNA
Source: RNAcentral
GAUGAACGCUGGCGGCGUGCCUAAUACAUGCAAGUCGAGCGAACGGACGAGAAGCUUGCUUCUCUGAUGUUAGCGGCGGACGGGUGAGUAACACGUGGAUAACCUACCUAUAAGACUGGGAUAACUUCGGGAAACCGGAGCUAAUACCGGAUAAUAUUUUGAACCGCAUGUUUCAAAAGUGAAAGACGGUCUUGCUGUCACUUAUAGAUGGAUCCGCGCUGCAUUAGCUAGUUGGUAAGGUAACGGCUUACCAAGGCAACGAUGCAUAGCCGACCUGAGAGGGUGAUCGGCCACACUGGAACUGAGACACGGUACAGACUCCUACGGGAGGCAGCAGUAGGGAAUAUUCCGCAAUGGGCGAAAGCCUGACGGAGCAACGCCGCGUGAGUGAUGAAGGUCUUCGGAUCGUAAAACUCUGUUAUUAGGGAAGAACAUAUGUGUAAGUAACUGUGCACAUCUUGACGGUACCUAAUCAGAAAGCCACGGCUAACUACGUG